Molecule: ribosomal RNA, 16 nt
Filed under: Ophiopogon peliosanthoides
Lineage: Eukaryota; Viridiplantae; Streptophyta; Magnoliopsida; Asparagales; Asparagaceae
Also listed under: 1 other name
Description: partial 26S ribosomal RNA
Source: RNAcentral
UGCAUGCAAGGAACCC